UUUAAUAUUUCAUCCUAACCAUCCAUUGAUAUUUUGAAAAAUCUUGACCGAUGAUCUCAAAAGGAUAUUUUAGAAAAGAAAAAAGUAUCACUACUUUCCAUCCUAUUGGAAGUGAUAAAACCUAUCUCUUCCAUAGGUUUUCACUUCGCAUGAAAUGUGGGAAGUGACUUUUCAUGAAUUUUUUUUUUCAUUUUCUCUUCUUUUAAAACUUCAACCAAAUAAGAAGUCUUCUUUUUACUUCUCAGAAAAUGCCUCUCUCCUCUCCACUUUCCGUCAACCAAACGAGUCCCUGGUAUUGCUAAAGACAUUGACGUGCUUUUGUGUUAUUGGACUUGCUGCAAAUAGAGAAACACGAGAAUCUUAUCAAACCAAGGUAAUUCAGAAUAGGAAGUGAGAAAUUCUAACCUUAUACCCUCUAGUCACUUAUAUAUUUUAUGCAAUCAAAAUUGCAUAAGGUAGAUAAAUCGUUGAUAUAUUUUUCCUUUUGUUACCCUCUCCCCUUUGUAAUUCUUUUCUGUUUCAAUAAAUUUGUACUAAUUACCAAACAAUAACAAAUUUGCAACUUACUUUUCUUUCUUUAAAAAAAAAUCCUAAUUAGAAUUAUAAAUUAUGCCCCACGAAAUCAAGUUGAGUCAAGCCAAAAUAACUAAAUACUCAAGCUUGACUCGAUUUCAAACACUCG
Molecule: long non-coding RNA, 682 nt
Filed under: Elaeis guineensis (African oil palm)
Lineage: Eukaryota; Viridiplantae; Streptophyta; Magnoliopsida; Arecales; Arecaceae
Description: long non-coding RNA (EGUI_LNC026743)
Source: RNAcentral